This 971-nucleotide ribosomal RNA is filed under the name Bacillus subtilis. Its description in RNAcentral is "bacterial SSU rRNA". It matches the Rfam family "Bacterial small subunit ribosomal RNA", at positions 56 to 1004 of the family's 1533-position model. Lineage: Bacteria; Bacillati; Bacillota; Bacilli; Caryophanales; Bacillaceae. The record is from RNAcentral.
UGCAAGUCGAGCGGACAGAUGGGAGCUUGCUCCCUGAUGUUAGCGGCGGACGGGUGAGUAACACGUGGGUAACCUGCCUGUAAGACUGGGAUAACUCCGGGAAACCGGGGCUAAUACCGGAUGCUUGUUUGAACCGCAUGGUUCAAACAUAAAAGGUGGCUUCGGCUACCACUUACAGAUGGACCCGCGGCGCAUUAGCUAGUUGGUGAGGUAAUGGCUCACCAAGGCAACGAUGCGUAGCCGACCUGAGAGGGUGAUCGGCCACACUGGGACUGAGACACGGCCCAGACUCCUACGGGAGGCAGCAGUAGGGAAUCUUCCGCAAUGGACGAAAGUCUGACGGAGCAACGCCGCGUGAGUGAUGAAGGUUUUCGGAUCGUAAAGCUCUGUUGUUAGGGAAGAACAAGUACCGUUCGAAUAGGGCGGUACCUUGACGGUACCUAACCAGAAAGCCACGGCUAACUACGUGCCAGCAGCCGCGGUAAUACGUAGGUGGCAAGCGUUGUCCGGAAUUAUUGGGCGUAAAGGGCUCGCAGGCGGUUUCUUAAGUCUGAUGUGAAAGCCCCCGGCUCAACCGGGGAGGGUCAUUGGAAACUGGGGAACUUGAGUGCAGAAGAGGAGAGUGGAAUUCCACGUGUAGCGGUGAAAUGCGUAGAGAUGUGGAGGAACACCAGUGGCGAAGGCGACUCUCUGGUCUGUAACUGACGCUGAGGAGCGAAAGCGUGGGGAGCGAACAGGAUUAGAUACCCUGGUAGUCCACGCCGUAAACGAUGAGUGCUAAGUGUUAAGGGGGUUUCCGCCCCUUAGUGCUGCAGCUAACGCAUUAAGCACUCCGCCUGGGGGAGUACGGUCGCAAGACUGAAACUCAAAGGAAUUGACGGGGGCCCGCACAAGCGGUGGAACCAUGGUGGUUUAAUUCGAAGCAACGCGAAGAACCUUACCAGGUCUUGACAUCCUCUGACAUCCUAGAA